Molecule: ribosomal RNA, 468 nt
Filed under: uncultured bacterium
Lineage: Bacteria
Description: partial 16S ribosomal RNA
Rfam family: Bacterial small subunit ribosomal RNA
Source: RNAcentral
GACGAACGCUGGCGGCGUGCUUAACACAUGCAAGUCGAACGGAAAGGCCCUGCUUUUGUGGGUUGCUCGAGUGGCGAACGGGUGAGUAACACGUGAGUAACCUGCCCUUGACUUUGUGAUAACUUCAGGAAACUGGGGCUAAUACCGGAUAGGAGCUCCUGCUGCAUGGUGGGGGUUGGAAAGUUUCGGCGGUUGGGGAUGGACUCGCGGCUUAUCAGCUUGUUGGUGGGGUAGUGGCUUACCAAGGCUUUGACGGGUAGCCGGCCUGAGAGGGUGACCGGCCACAUUGGGACUGAGAUACGGCCCAGAAUCCUACGGGAGGCAGCAGUGGGGAAUAUUGCACAAUGGGCGGAAGCCUGAUGCAGCAACGCCGCGUGCGGGAUGACGGCCUUCGGGUUGUAAACCGCUUUCGCCUGUGACGAAGCGUGAGUGACGGUAAUGGGUAAAGAAGCACCGGCUAACUACGUG